UACAGAGGUCUCGAGCGUUAGGCGGAAUCACUGGGCUUAAAGCGUGUGUAGGUGGAUCGUUAAGUACCUUGUGAAAUCCCACGGCUUAACCGUGGAACUGCUUGGUAUACUGGCGGUCUUGAGCCAGCUAGGGGCUACCGGAACAAAUGGUGGAGCGGUGAAAUGCGUAGAUAUCAGGAGGAACACCGGUGGCGAAGGCGGGUCUCUGGGCCGAUACUGACGCUGAGGCGCGAAAGCCAGGGGAGCAAACGGG
RNAcentral lists this ribosomal RNA (253 nucleotides) under uncultured bacterium. RNAcentral's name for it is "partial 16S ribosomal RNA". It matches the Rfam family "Bacterial small subunit ribosomal RNA", at positions 524 to 776 of the family's 1533-position model. The record is from RNAcentral.